CUUAAAUAACUUUAUUGCCACAACAUUUUACAUGUCGUGAAAUCAAGAUUUUGUUGUAGUGUAUGUACUAUCACACCGGCUGGCAAUUGCUCGACUAUCAUAGUCUCUGGUGUAACUGUCGGGAGUAUUUCAUUCGAAUUCGAGGGCAAGGAGUUACUGCAAUCACUGGCUGUAAUGCCUUUCAGUUGCAUUGCAGUACAGGAAGUAUUUUCACCCUCACCAUUUUAAAACUCAAUUUCCCCAUCUCCUUUGAACCAAAUCGACUCUAAGACAACCACAUUUCUUUUCUCAUUCAUCAUAUAUUAUUUAUGGAUUUAUUCAAAGGGAAAAUCAACAUCAAAUUCAGACCAUAGCUCACAAAGAUAUGAUUUUUAUGAAAUUUCAAAUUUUUGCAUACCUUUGAACUUUCAAUUAAAAGUUGUGGAUUUGAUUGUUGAUGAGGAGAUUAGAUUAGGUAGUUGUUGGGUUUCGUUGGUAGAUUAUUAUGAUUUAUUUUUUAUUUUUUGGCUGGAAUUCAUUCACUCAAUGCGUUUUAUCCCCAGCAUUUUUUCCCGCUCAUAAGAUAUUCGAUAAAAUGCCUUAACGGUGAUAUUUGGACCCCAUUUUCAUACGACUCACAUAUCAUCCCCUACAUUAUAUCCACGAGCGUACACAUUUGCAUUAUAUUCACAACGUUAUGUUCACGCAAAGCAUGUAGUUUCUGUUCCCUAUUUUCAACUCCUAUUUCCAUCCACCUCAUUGCACUCAUUAUUGAUCCAUUUGAGGUGUCUUGUGCUCCAAUUGUGCAUCGUAUCAUAUCCUUUGUGUACCUAUAAUAUUCAUGAUUUUCAUCUAAAAUUGAAGGUUACGAUGACAUUCAAAUGCAAACACCAAAAGCAACGGAAAAUAUGAAUGGAAAAGCUCAACUUUUGCCUACACCGACACACCCCUAAGUGAGUCUUUGCGGAUCUCUUUUGUUAUUCUUAUUGAGAUAUGAUUUAUAAUUGCAUAUUUUGAUAUAUAGUUUAAGUAUGGGAGUGGUUGUAUCAAAAUAAUAUACAUAUAUGAUGAUCGAUAUUGUGAGAGAUUUGAUUGCCGUGUUUGGUUGCAUGUCACUACUUCCGUAUACGUAAAAGAUUCAAAAAUAAUUUAUUGCUUUAUGUGUUCUUGUGAGUUGGAUGGCUUUGCUGACUAAUAAUGAUAUUAUUAGAAUUGCUAAGUUUCACGAAUUGUUUACCAGGUAGACUUGGAUUAUUUUGAAGGUUAUUCUUGUUAGAUUUUAAUAUAUUUUGAGCAUGAUAUUAGAAAGAAGCAGUUUAUUAUUGAUUCUAUCAAUAACGUAGCGAUAAAGCUGUCUACAGGUGAACUGAAAAGUAGAAAUAUCUAACGAAAUUUGAGGGAAAAAUAGUUAUGCUGAAAAAAUAAAAAAUAAAAAAUUGCAUUCAUAUUUGUCUACAUGCUCAUAUUAGCAGCUGCAGAGUAAAAUGCUGCAAUUCCUGGCUAAGCUUUAGACACUUAAAUGAAGGAUUUGAAUUUUUAAUGAUGGUAAGCCUUGGUGAAGUUCGAAGGUUGAGCUACUUAAAUUGAAGAAGAAUAAUAAUCAUAAAUCGAGAUAGUGACUUCCAUUGGUUAGAUCCAGACAGACUUUUACUAGAAAGGAAUGAGUAAUGAUAAUUUAUCUUUUAAAAUGAAUAACAUUUAAGUAAAAAGAACAAAUUUGGGCAUGCAUCUUACUGGAGUUUAUAGAUUGAAUUGACUAUACACACACAUCGAUCUAAUAUUGGAUGAGUGAAGGAAUUGAUCACGAUAGCAUAUCUUGGAAGCUGUGUAUUAACUGUUCAAGGAUUUCAAAAUAUGAGGCAAAACGAAAAGCAAUCUAACUAGGCAAAACGAAAAGCAAUCUAACUAUGUUAUUUAUAUUUUGUUUGUGUGUGUGCACUGAGUAACUAAUUUUGUUUUGGUCAAAUAAAUGAUCAAGUUUGGAGGUAUUUGAUAAGUAUGAUAUCUACACUCAUUCCAAAACAUCAAAAGUGGAUUACUGUGAUCCAACUUGAUGAUAUUAUUACUUAAUUUGAUUAAAUAUAGAUUGUUAUAGGAUAAAUUCAAGUUUGGACAACUAUUCAUGACAAAGUGGAAAUUGGCCAAAGAAAGGUGAAAAAUGAAGAAUUGUCAAGUUUAAGUUCUAAAUUACAAAUCUCUAGAAAUUGAUUUAGAUUAAGAGUGGAUAACUGAAUAUUACAUGGAUUAAAUUGGAUGAAUUGGAAUUUGAAGGAUUUGAAACAAUUACAGAAGAGGACCGAAGAUGAAAGGUGUAGAAGUUAGGGACCAAGAUGAACUAAAGUGGAAAUUAUAUACCAAUUUUUUUUAACUAUAUUUUUAUUCUCCAACAUUUUAAUUAGAGUGCAUUUGAUUGGCUUUAUUUUUGAUAAUAUAUAUAUAUAUAUCAUUUUUUUCACCUAUAUUCCUACUUUUGUUAUGUUUGAUAAACAAUUUUUUCAUAAAAAAUAUUUUCCAACUUUUGGUCAGGUUACCAUAUUUUCUUCAAAAAUAAGGAAAAUAUUUUCUUUAGUAAUUUGCUAUCUCUUUCUCUCUUACCUAACCAUUCCCUCUCAUCUUACCCACCAAUAAAAAAUAAAUAAGUAUAAUAUUUUUAGGUUGAAAACUAAAUCAAUCAAACAUAUUCAAUUACAGAUUUUCAUUCAAAUAAGUUCUAUAAAAUUGAAUUGUCUAAAAUUUAUUUUCUUCCUAUACAAAUUUCAUACUUGUAAUCAAACGUACCCCUACUAUUUCAUUUUCAUCUAAAAAAAUGGUGUGUUUAGCUUAUUGUUUUCAAUUUUGCAAAUGAUGAUGCUACACGUACACGAGGGUUUUACACACUCAAAACAUGUUUUGUCUCAUAUUUUCCUAAAUAAGGUUAGAUUGUGAAAUUCAAAAUACAUUUUUUAUGUUUUCAGUUACAACUUAAAAAAUANUUGGCUUUAUUUUUGAUAAUAUAUAUAUAUCAUUUUUUUCAUCUAAAUUCCUACUUUUGUUAUAUUUGAUAAACAAUUUUUUUCAUAAAAAAUAUUUUCCAACUUUUGGUCAGGUGACCAUAUUUUCUUCAAAAACAAGGAAAAUAUUUUCUUUAGCGAGGGGUGAUUUCUAUUUUCCUGGUAAUUUACUAUCUCUUUCUCUCUUACCUAACCAUUCCCUCUCAUCUUACCCACCAAUAAAAAAUAAAUAAGUAUAAUAUUUUUAGGUUGAAAACUAAAUCAAUCAAGCAUAUUUAAUUACAGAUUUUCAUACAAAUAAGUUCUAUAAAAUUGAAUUGUCUAAAAUUUAUUUUCUUCCUAUGCAAAUUUCAUACUUGUAAUCAAACGUAUCCUUACUAUUUCAUUUUUAUCUAAAAAAAUGGUGUGUUUAGCCUAUUGUUUUCAAUUUUGCAAAUGAUGAUGCUACACGCACAUGAGGGUUUUACACACUCAAAACAUGUUCUCAUAUUUUCCAAAACAAGGUUAAAUUAUGAAAUUCAAAAUACAUUUUUUAUGUUUUCAGUUACAACUUAAAAAAUACUCAAAACAUGGAAAACAUGCAUUGAAAUAAAUUUUUAUUUAAAUAAAAUUCAGAUAAUUAAAAAUUCUUAAAAAAAAAAAUCAAAGAAAUGAAAUUCAAAAAUAAUAAAUAUUUGACAAAAUUCUAAAAAUAAUGUUUUGAAAAAAUAAAUUCUAAAAUUCUAAAAAUUCUAGAAAAAUAAAUAAUAAAGAAUAGUUAAUCUCUUGAUGAUUAUUUACAUAAAAAAUUGUUAGCUUCAUAUGAUUAGAAUGGGUGAUGGCCCAAAACAUAGUUUGGUUUCCAUGUGUUAAGCAUAUGACCAAUAACUUCAUAACGCUAGCUACUGCGUAUUACUAAAAGUGGAAGUUCUACUACCACACAAUCAUCCCCGAUUAGUUAUAUUCAUGUUCUUCAACUGGUAAUAAUAUGCAAUGAUAGAGAUGGAGUAAUCCUUGUUAAAUAGAGGUUGAACAUUUUAUUUUAUUUUUUUGUUUCUGUAUUCUUGAUAAACCAACAUUUAUAUAUUACACAUGGAUAGGCUCUAAUAAAAUUUGCGUGCGAGACAGGUUACCUAAUUAAUUUUCAGGUUAAAAAAUUACCUGUAUUCUCAACGAUUUGUCAUGUUGAAAAAUUACUCUAACUUAAAAUGAAUAGGAAACCCAUUUUUAGCUACAAGAUAUAUAACAUAAAAAUUUAUAUGAAUUGAUUGCUUUUAACUUAUUCAUUGAUUUUUUUUUUUUAUUAGAAUGUAGAAAUUAAAAUUUUUAUUUAUUUUUAGACUGUUGGAAGAGUGAAAUGAAGUAUUUUAUAAUUUUUCCAAUAUUUUAUUGACUUACUAAAAUUAUUUUUUAUUAAUUUGAUAUUAUAGUUUUGGAAAAGAAAGAUAAUAAAUUUUAUAAAUCUGAUACAUUAAAACAUUCUUUAAACAAAAAUAUUUAAUAAAAAAACAAUAAUUACAAAUAUAAUAUGCAACAUUUUAUGUAACAUUAUAUAUAGGAUGUGAUUUAUUAUUAUAGUUAAGGUUGUUUUUGUUUGUUCAGCUAUUUAUAAUCGGAUAUUUGUAAAUUUUUCCGCAAAAGGCAUUUCUUGUAACCAACAUGCAAAAUGUAGUCUGUAAAAUGUAAAUUUAUAAAAUACAGUAUAUAAAGUAUAAUUACACCCUAUAAAUAUGGCGUAUUUUGUAAAUUUCCCUUCAAAUAAUCUCAUUGCAAUAGAAAAUACUAAUCAAUUUAGGAUAUAGAAAUAUAAUUAUGUUCUAAUUACCAAGUCAAAAUUUCAACAAUUUUUUACAUUGACUUUUAAUUGUACAAUGAUCUUCCAUGUCUCCUUCCAAUUGAAUAAUAUUCCCAUAAUACAGUCCCGUUUCCCCUAUUAUCUUGGUCAUACAACUUGGAAAAUUUUAAAGAACCUUUUCUUUAACUAACACAAUUCUCAAAAUAGAGAAUCAACAUAAUUCAUCAUAAAGGAUAUACAUACUUAAAACCACCAAGUUCUAAGAAUUUCAAUUCGGUGUAUGUUGAACAAACUUGCUGAAAAUUUACUGUGCAAUUCCCAUGUUUGGCUUUUCGGGAAGUUCAUCAACCAUAUAUAUAGCCUCCGUUUGGCCUUUAUUAAUUUUCAUUCUAUUACAUUUCAUUUUUCUCUCUCCUAUUUUCAACCACAAAAUCUUCCAUAAAAUAAUAUUACACAUAAAUCGAAAACUUCUCAUUCUUUUUCAACAACUUAUUUUUCAAACAAACACUAUUCCACCCAUUUUUAUUACCACAAAAUGGGGGUCAAACAGGGGCAUAAAGUAUAGUGGUCAUAUCCAACCUAGACAUUGACCAAGACAAUAUAGCGAAUUAAUGGUUCAACCAAGGAAUCGAUUCUACUCAAAUAUUUUAUUAUUUUGACAUUUUUUUAUUACUAAGAGUGCGUUUGAUUGUCAAUAUUUUUCAAGGAAAAUGUCGUUUUUCACCCAAAUUUUUACAUUUGUGUUAUUUGAUCGAUAUAUUUUUAUGAAAAAUAUUUUCCUACUUUUGAUCACAUGAUUAUAUUUUCGUUAAAAAGAAUAAAAAUAUUUUCAUUAUGAGAGUAUGUAUUUAUUUUCCAAGUAAUUCACCCUCUCUCAUCUAUCCACUCUCUCCCAUCUAGCUACCAAUAAAAAUUGGACAAGUAUAAUAUUUUUUAGGUUAAAAAUAAAAUUAAUCAAAAAUAUUUAAUUGACAAAAUUUAUGCAAAUAAUUUCUAAGUAAUUCAAUGGCUUAAAAUUCAUUUUCUUUCCAUGUAAAUUUCACUCUCGCAAUCAAAAACUGCCCUAAUUAAAUUAACUUCAUGUUAUUUUGGUGAUUAAAGAUCAAUCGGUAGCCAAAUUCCAAAAAUUCUAAAUCAUAUAGUGAAUUAUGCAUUUUAAACCAUAAAACAACAACCAAUUAUAAAAAACUACUUUAUUUCACAAAGUUCAACAAGAUAGCUUCAUAUACUAUAAGAAUAUGCUAGCAAAAAUAAAACAAUCAUUUAAUAGUUAUUUGUGGAUAAAGCACAGGUUAACAAAGUAAAUUAUUUGAAUAAUUCAAUAUUCUCUCAAUUAAGAAAAGUAACAACGCAUACCAUAAAUUCUUCAAUUCCUUCGCCUUGUACUCAUGAUGGAGUCUUGGUCAUACUAAAAUUCUCAUUUCCAUUUUAUCACUUCUAUUUUCAUUGCCAUUGCCAUUGCCAUUGCCAUCACUUCCAUCACCAUCAAAAUCAAGAUCAUCAAAAUGUAAUUUAUCUGGAAAAAAUUUUAAAAUUCAACGUUACAUCAUACAUAUACUUUAAUUAAAAGAAGAAACAAUAACAUUAAUCAAACAAUUAUCAUCAUUUUUAGCUUUUGUAUAGUACACUAAAUCACGACGAAAUGUUUCCUACUUGUAUCAUCUAUCAAUUGAUGGCUUCUCCUCUAACACCCAAUUGCCAUAAAUGCCAAACCUUUCAAAGUCCAUAUGAUCAUAAUUUCGACUCUUAAAGUAAUUCUUAAACAACACAAUUUAUAAAUAAUACAAUAUAAUUCUUGUAAAAGAAAACAAAAUCUAAAAAUCAAAUAAAUCAUAAAAUGAUGAAAUUUUAAUCAUUUGGUGCUUGAGUCUAUUUCUCCUUUUUGAGUGGAUAUGGUCAAACAUACUCUAAUUUCCUUCAUUGCUUGAAGAACUAAAUGUUUGACUUAAUAUUCGUGUUGCAAGUGUUUGUAGGUUAGGUACACUAUGAUAACAAAUCCACCAUUCAUCUGUAUAAAAAUAAAAGCAAAAUAAAAUAAAUGUAAAUUAUAUAAACUGAAAAUAGAACUAGAUAAAACUACAAAAAACUGUGGUCUAGUAAGUCAACAAAUUAUACAAGACUUAAAGCUUUUGGUUACACUGCCUAUUCUCAUCAAAGUGAAGGCAAACUUGAACCAAGAUCCAUAAAAUGUUUUUCUAGGUUAUGGAGAGGAAAUCAAAGGUUAUAACUUUGAUUAAAGAGUCAACAUGAUUUCAAAGUCAUCAUUAGUAGGAAUAUCAUUUUCAAUGAAAAUGAUAUGCCCUAUAAACUUGAAUGAUCUCAAUGAUUUGAUUGAGGUGGAGAUUAAAUAAAUCAUUAUGAAGAUGAAUCUAAAAAUGAAGUUGAAUCUCAAAAUCAUGCUAUUGCCGAUUAUCAACUAACUAGAGAUAGAAGUAGAGGAAAUAGAUUUUCGUCUACUAAAAUUAGCAUUGAUGAUUUUGGGACUUUGUUUUCUGCAUUUGACUCCUUAAAUUUUGAACCAACUACUUUUGAAGAGGCAAGUAUUGAAUCACAUUUUUGGACAGAAUCUAUGAAAGAUGAGAUGGACUCUUUGAUUAAAAAUAAAACUUGAAUUUUGGUUAACAAACCUAAAAAUCAAUAAGUAGUGGACUAUAAGUGGAAUUUUAAAAUCAAAGAAGGAGAUUCUAGUACAAGGAACAAAAGAUAUAAAACUAGACUUACAGCUAGAGAGUUCUCUCAAAGAAAGGGAAUUGGAUAUAAUGAAAUAUUUCCCUUAUUACAAAAUAUACUCCAAUCAGGAUUCUGCUUGUUUUGACUACUCAUUUUAAAUGGAAACUUGAUUAGUUUGAUGUUAAAGCUACAUUUCUAAAUGGUGAUCUUGAUGAGGUUAUUUAUAUGAGUCAACUAAAGGGUUUUAAAGUUAAUCCAAAAUAUGAAAAAGGUAUGUCUGUUAAAAAAGUCUCUUUUUGGCUUAAAAGAAGCCUUCAGACAAUGGUACAAGAAAUUUAACUUAUAUGUUCAAAUUUUGGAUUUUGUUAAGAGCAAUUUUGGAUAUUGUUUCUUUUACAAAUGAUAGGAGAACCUGAAUUUCUUUAUUUGCUAUUAUAUGUUGAUGACAUAUUGCUAGCUUGUCAUGAUAGAUCUGAUAUAAAUUUAAUUAAGUCGAAAUUGGAAUCUGAAUUUGAAAUGAAAAAUCUAGAACAAGCUAAAGGAAUUCUUAGAAUGGAAAUUAAAAGAGUUCGAAAGAAUUGUAUUCUUUAUUUGAAUCAAUGCUCUUAUGUGAAAUAAUACUUAAAGGGUUUUCUAUGCUUGAAUGUAAACCUGUUUCACUUCCUAUUGCUAAUCAUUUUAAAUUGUAUAGUGAACAGUCGACUAAAACAUGUGAUGAGUUUGAAAGAAUGAAAAAUGUACCUUAUGCUAACUUUAUAGGGUCGAUUAUAUAUCUCAUGGUGUGUACUAGACCUGAAGUGGCUCAUGGCACAAGUAUUCUUAAUAGAUUUAUGGCAAACAAAGGUGAAACGCACUAUUUAGUUAUUAAGUGGAUGUUGAAAUAUUUGACAAGUUCAUCUGACUUAGGUUUAAAAUUUAAAAAUUCUUAAAGGCUAUACUGAUUCUGAUUUUGCUGGAAAUUUAGAUGAAAGAAGAUUCACUUCAUCUUAUAUUUUUUACUUUGUCUAAUGGAUGUGUUAGUUGGAAAUCUCAAUUGCAAAAACUCAUAGCCUUAUCUUCUACAGAGGCAGAAUAGAUUGUUGUCUAUGAUGCUGUUAAAGAAAAAUAUUUGGUUACGAGGAUUGUUAAAUGAAAUUGGUUCAAAAAAUGAAAUGGUUAGAAUUUAUACUGAUAAUCAAAGUGCCAUUCACCUUAGUAAAAAUUCUAUAUAUCAUGAUAGAACAAAACAUGUUGAUGUAAAGUUUAAUUUUGUGAGAAAAAUUCCUAUUGAAUUUAAUCCAUCUGAUUUUCGAACCAAGGUACUGUAUAAAUUCAAAAACUGCUCGAAAGGUUGUGAAUUUAGAAUAUCAAGCUGUAUUUUUUUAUAUGUUUACUAAAAUUUUUUUUUCCUCCCUUCUUACAUGUAAAUAAGAGCAAUGAAACAGGCUCCUACUAACGGUUAUCUAUCAACAACGAGAAGUUUUUGAACUUAAUGUAUGUUUUAAGAAGUUUUGUGCUUAUUCCUGGAUUGAAGCAAGU
Molecule: long non-coding RNA, 8931 nt
Filed under: Olea europaea subsp. europaea
Lineage: Eukaryota; Viridiplantae; Streptophyta; Magnoliopsida; Lamiales; Oleaceae
Source: RNAcentral